GACGAACGCUGGCGGCGUGCUUAACACAUGCAAGUCGAGCGGUAAGGCCCUUUCGGGGGUACACGAGCGGCGAACGGGUGAGUAACACGUGGGUGACCUGCCCUCAGCUCUGGGAUAAGCCUGGGAAACCGGGUCUAAUACUGGAUAUGACUCCAUGACGCAUGUUGUGGGGUGGAAAGCCUUGUGCGGCUGAGGAUGGGCCCGCGGCCUAUCAGCUUGUUGGUGGGGUGAUGGCCUACCAAGGCGACGACGGGUAGCCGGCCUGAGAGGGCGACCGGCCACACUGGGACUGAGACACGGCCCAGACUCCUACGGGAGGCAGCAGU
RNAcentral lists this ribosomal RNA (326 nucleotides) under uncultured bacterium. Its description in RNAcentral is "bacterial SSU rRNA". It matches the Rfam family "Bacterial small subunit ribosomal RNA", at positions 28 to 355 of the family's 1533-position model. The record is from RNAcentral.